GUUUUGAAUCUGUCUGCCUUUAUGAAUCUGAAAUGGUGUAUGUUUGUUUGAGUCAGGUGAUCGUGCAGAUGUCGGUUGAGUUCGCCCAGCAGACCGAAGAGGCCCGGAUCAGAAAACAGACCCGAGAGGUGAGCAUCGGCACGCAGACAGACAACAGUGAGGAUGAGGAGGACCGACUGAACUCUGAGAGCGUGAUGAAGAGGGAUCUGGAGCUGCAGCAGGUGAAAGAGAGAGAAGACGAGACUGAGAGACGGAGAGAUGAACACCGGCUUCCCAGCAUGCAAAGCUGCGGCACUCAGACCCAGCAGACGAGAGAGGAGGAGGAGGAGGAGGAGACGAAGGUCAGAGGUCAGAGAAGAGCCGUGGACCCACAGCUCUCGUCUGAUGUCCUCACCACUGAGAGGUGAGCAGUAAUUAGAGCUCAAGAAUAAUUCAGGAUUUGAUUCGGCACAAACUGAA
RNAcentral lists this long non-coding RNA (459 nucleotides) under Sinocyclocheilus grahami. RNAcentral's name for it is "lncRNA (ENSSGRG00000027138.1)". Lineage: Eukaryota; Metazoa; Chordata; Actinopteri; Cypriniformes; Cyprinidae. The record is from RNAcentral.